GAUGAAGAACGUAGCGAAAUGCGAUAAGUAGUGUGAAUUGCAGAAUUCAGUGAAUCAUCGAAUCUUUGAACGCACAUUGCGCCCUUUGGUAUUCCUUAGGGCAUGCCUGUUCGAGCGUCAUUUAAACCUUCAAGCUAAGCUUGGUGUUGGGUGACUGUCCGCUUCACGGCGGACUCGCCUCAAAAUUAUUGGCGGCCGGUACAUUGGCUUCGAGCGCAGCAGAAACGCGAACUCGGGCCCGUCGUAUUGGCUCCCAGAAGCUAUCUUCACAAUUUUGACCUCGGAUCAGGUAGGGAUACCCGCUGAACUUAAGCAUAUCAAUAAGAGGA
Molecule: unclassified non-coding RNA, 329 nt
Filed under: soil metagenome
Description: partial contains 5.8S ribosomal RNA, internal transcribed spacer 2, and large subunit ribosomal RNA
Rfam family: 5.8S ribosomal RNA (bases 1-120)
Source: RNAcentral